RNAcentral lists this ribosomal RNA (484 nucleotides) under uncultured bacterium. Its description in RNAcentral is "partial 16S ribosomal RNA". It matches the Rfam family "Bacterial small subunit ribosomal RNA", at positions 30 to 507 of the family's 1533-position model. The record is from RNAcentral.
AUUGAACGCUGGCGGCGGGCCUAACACAUGCAAGUCGAGCGGAUGAAGGGAGCUUGCUCCUGGAUUCAGCGGCGGACGGGUGAGUAAUGCCUAGGAAUCUGCCUGGUAGUGGGGGAUAACGUCCGGAAACGGGCGCUAAUACCGCAUACGUCCUGAGGGAGAAAGUGGGGGAUCUUCGGACCUCACGCUAUCAGAUGAGCCUAGGUCGGAUUAGCUAGUGGGUGGGGUAAAGGCCUACCAAGGCGACGAUCCGUAACUGGUCUGAGAGGAUGAUCAGUCACACUGGAACUGGGCCACGGUCCAGACUCCUACGGGAGGCAGCAGUGGGGAAUAUUGGACAAUGGGCGAAAGCCUGAUCCAGCCAUGCCGCGUGUGUGAAGAAGGUCUUCGGAUUGUAAAGCACUUUAAGUUGGGAGGAAGGGCAGUAAGUUAAUACCUUGCUGUUUUGACGUUACCAACAGAAUAAGCACCGGCUAACUUCGUG